RNAcentral lists this ribosomal RNA (1098 nucleotides) under Goggia lineata. RNAcentral describes it as "partial 12S ribosomal RNA". The stretch from base 1 to 767 matches the Rfam family "Bacterial small subunit ribosomal RNA", at positions 365 to 1533 of the family's 1533-position model. The record is from RNAcentral. Lineage: Eukaryota; Metazoa; Chordata; Lepidosauria; Squamata; Gekkonidae.
UAAGCAAUAAGCCCCUGCUUGACUUAGCUACGGCCUAACCAAGGGUCGGUAAACUCCGUGCCAGCCACCGCGGUUACACGAAGGACCCAAGACAACCCCCACGGCGUAAAAUGUGACUAAAGACCUUCUCACUUAAUGGGACAAAAACUGUAAUAAAGUCGUAAAACACUUAUAUAUACAGGCCCUGCCCCAAACAACAGAAUAACUUGACCCCACGAAAGCUGGGGUACAAACUAGGAUUAGAUACCCUACUAUGCCCAGCCAUAAACCUCAGCAGUCCCCCCACCAACUGCCCGCCAGAGGAUUACAGGCAAAAGCCUAAAACCCUAAGGACUUGACGGUGCUCCGCACCCACCUAGAGGAGCCUGUCCUAUAAUCGAUACUCCACGAUACACCCGACCCCCUCUUGCACCCAUGCCGCCUAUAUACCGCCGUCACCAGCCUACCUUAUGACAGAUCCUACAGUAGGCAAAAUAUUCAACCACUAACACGUCAGGUCAAGGUGUAGCUAACGAGGGGGACAGAGAUGGGCUACAUUUUCUAAAAUAGAAAAUCACCACAAACAGCAUGAAAACCUGUUAGAAGGCGGAUUUAGCAGUAAAUUUAGGUAAGACUUGCCUAAUUGAAGCCCGCCCCGGAGCGCGUACACACCGCCCGUCACCCUCUUCGAACCACACAUACUAAUACAUAAAAUUUUUCCCCCAAAAAGACGAGGUAAGUCGUAACAUGGUAAGUGUACCGGAAGGUGCACUUGGCUAAAACAAAAGGUAGCUUACAAUUAAAGCAUUCAGCUUACAACUGAAAAAUGUCCUACAAGACCCUAUUGAGCCCUCACCGCAAGCCCUCUCCUCUUUUACCAACCAACCCACUAAUUAACCAAAUCAUUUGUCACACCUAGUAUCCGCGACAAAAAAGUACUUUAAGGAGCACUAGCCACUAGUACCGCAAGGAAACAAUGAAAGAACAAGUCAAACCCCGCCCAACAUAGCAGGGUCUAACCCCCGUACCUCUUGCAUCAUGGUUUAGCCAGCACCCCCAGAUAAAGUGCACUAAAAUCUGCACACCCGAACCCAGACGAGCUACCUAAAAGCAGUCAUA